This 961-nucleotide ribosomal RNA is filed under the name Algoriphagus antarcticus. RNAcentral describes it as "partial 16S ribosomal RNA". Lineage: Bacteria; Pseudomonadati; Bacteroidota; Cytophagia; Cytophagales; Cyclobacteriaceae. The record is from RNAcentral.
UGGUAUUUUUUGUUGAAGAAAGGCGAGAUUAGACAGGAAUCUAAGGUUUCAUUUCGUUGAUCUCUUUGGGACUCUAAAUUACACCACCAUCUCAAGAUAACCCUAGUUUAUAUUUAUUCAUAUUUGUUGCGGCCAACAUUUUAUUGAGAGUAAGACGUUUGCUCUUGGAUUCACUUGGUGGUGGGGUUGAAGCCCCCUAGUGCAAGUAUUUCAGCGUUUUGAAAGUUGUGCCCCGUAGCUCUACUGAAACACCGAAAUGGUGUUAGGUAGGUGCUAUUUUGGAAAUCGCGCUUAGGCCGGAAUUUAACACCCCUGCCCGAUGAAGUAAAGGGUUUGGGUAUAAAACUGUCUUUAUCUGAGAAAAAAAAUCCCUGCGGGGGGAAAUUGCUCGAUUAUUAGAAAAGACCGCCUAACUUCGUUCCGCAGCCGCCCGCAUUCAGAGGGGGGCAGGGGUGCCCGGGUUUUUGGCUUUAGGGGUGCGAAUCCCCCUUUAAUCAAACGAAAAUCCCGCCGGUCAACCGUGUACUGCCAUUAACGGGGGGCUUACAUUCGCCAAGCGGGCAAAUUCGUGCUUACGGGAAAAGUAAAAUCAACAAAAACCCGUGCUAAGUGGUGGUUGGGCGAAAUUUAACUUAAGGCCAAAAACCCGGCGGGGCACACCGCUUUAAACCCCUGUAGAUCCCCCCCUAAAAAAAAGAUAGACCCUGAGGUGGCGGAGAGAGGUGUCGUGUUCAAAAAUAAAAAGGUUAUAAUCCUCCCCCCUGGGGGACACACCCCCCCGGGGGGAAAAACUCCAAAAGCUCUAAAGGGGCCCCCCCACGCGCGGGGAAAGAAGUGGUUUUUUUUUUAAGAUAACCCAGAAAACCAUCCCCCCGGGGGAAAUGGUGCGAGACCGGAAAAGAAAUAUACUACCCUUCGAGGACCGAAAAAAAAGGGGGGGGAGCGGUGGGUCGACGCCUCG